CCUACGGGAGGCAGCAGUGGGGGAUAUUGCACAAUGGGGGGAACCCUGAUGCAGCGACGCCGCGUGGGUGAAGAAGCGCCUCGGCGCGUAAAGCCCUGUCAGCAGGGAAGAAAAUGACGGUACCUGAAGAAGAAGCCCCGGCUAACUACGUGCCAGCAGCCGCUGUAAUACGUAGGGGGCAAGGGUUAUCCGGAUUUACUGGGUGAAAAGGGGGCUCAGACGGCGGUGCAAGCCAGGGGUGAAAGCCCGGGGCCCAACCCCGGGACUGCUCUUGGAACUGCGUGGCUGGAGUGCAGGAGGGGCAGGCGGAAUUCCUGGUGUAGCGGUGAAAUGCGUAGAUAUCAGGAGGAACACCGGGGGCGAGGGCGGCCUGCGGGACUGCAACUGACGUUGAGGCCCGAAAGCGUGGGGAGCAAACAGGAUUAGAUACCGGGUAGUC
RNAcentral lists this ribosomal RNA (439 nucleotides) under uncultured bacterium. Its description in RNAcentral is "partial 16S ribosomal RNA". It matches the Rfam family "Bacterial small subunit ribosomal RNA", at positions 338 to 795 of the family's 1533-position model. The record is from RNAcentral.